This is a long non-coding RNA of Gadus chalcogrammus (walleye pollock), 285 nucleotides long. RefSeq lists it as uncharacterized. NCBI's taxonomy places the organism in Eukaryota, Metazoa, Chordata, Actinopteri, Gadiformes, Gadidae. The transcript is spliced from 4 exons. The record is from RefSeq and is a predicted model, not a curated record.
UCUCAUUCAAACACUUUACAGACUGAGCAUCAAACCGAAAGAUUGAGGAGACUAAAUAAACUCCUGUAGCCACACCCCUGUGCACAUACACAGGUGUGUGCGGCACCAUUACGAUCAAAACAUUAACACCAGUCUAUGGAGAACAUCUAAGGAUGAAGAUGUUAUUUAUAUUGCUGGCAUUUCCCUCCUUUAUCAAAGGUUGUACUGGCCUUACUCUUUAUGGAGAGGUCGGAGGGACGGUCGUAUUUCAAUGCAACUCAACUCGGAAGGAUGUACAAUCUCUUU